UUGGAGGGCAAGUCUGGUGCCAGCAGCCGCGGUAAUUCCAGCUCCAAUAGCGUAUAUUAAAGUUGUUGCAGUUAAAAGUUCGUAGUUGAAUUUCGGGUUAGUAGGCUGGUUAUGGAACUCGCGCGCUGCAGGUUUAUGUAACUGGUCUUACUAAUUCCUCCUUCCUGAUGAACUGUAGUGCCAUUAAUUUGGUGUUGCAGAGAAUCUGGACUGUUACUUUGAAAAAUUAGAGUGUUUAAAGCAGGCUAACGCUUGAAUACAUUAGCAUGGAAUAAUGAAAUAGGACGUUCGAUCCUAUUUUGUUGGUUUCUAGGAUUGACGUAAUGAUUAAUAGGGAUAGUUGGGGGCAUUAGUAUUCAAUUGUCAGAGGUGAAAUUCUUGGAUUUAUUGAAGACUAACUACUGCGAAAGCAUUUGCCAAGGAUGUUUUCAUUAAUCAAGAACGAAAGUUACGGGAUCGAAGACGAUCAGAUACCGUCGUAGUCUUAACCAUAAACUAUGCCGACUAGGGAUCGGAUGAUGUUAAUUUUUAA
This 532-nucleotide ribosomal RNA is filed under the name uncultured Glomeraceae. Its description in RNAcentral is "SSU rRNA". It matches the Rfam family "Eukaryotic small subunit ribosomal RNA", at positions 548 to 1073 of the family's 1831-position model. Lineage: Eukaryota; Fungi; Glomeromycota; Glomeromycetes; Glomerales; Glomeraceae. The record is from RNAcentral.